CCUACGGGUGGCUGCAGUGGGGAAUUUUGGACAAUGGGCGCAAGCCUGAUCCAGCCAUGCCGCGUGUGUGAAGAAGGCCUUCGGGUUGUAAAGCACUUUCGGCCGGAACGAAAUCGCGCGGGCGAACAUCCCGCGUGGAUGACGGUACCGGAAGAAGAAGCACCGGCUAACUACGUGCCAGCAGCCGCGGUAAUACGUAGGGUGCGAGCGUUAAUCGGAAUGACCGGGCGUAACCCGGGAGCUCAGGCCCGAAAUCCCCGGGCUGAACCUGGGAAUGGCGCUUGAAACUACGGGGCUGGAGUAUGGCAGAGGGAGGUGGAAUUCCACGUGUAGCGGUGAAAUGCGUAGAGAUGUGGAGGAACACCGAUGGCGAAGGCAGCCUCCUGGGCCAAUACUGACGCUCAUGCACGAAAGCGUGGGGAGCAAACAGGAUUAGAUACCCGAGUAGUC
RNAcentral lists this ribosomal RNA (450 nucleotides) under uncultured bacterium. RNAcentral describes it as "partial 16S ribosomal RNA". It matches the Rfam family "Bacterial small subunit ribosomal RNA", at positions 338 to 795 of the family's 1533-position model. The record is from RNAcentral.